GCUGACCGCGCUCCCGCAGGCGCUGCUGGUGCCCGGGAAGAGCCCGUCCCGGCGGCGGCCCGGCCCGCUCGGCUCCCGCCGCUCCAGCGCCAUCGGCAUCGAGAGCAUCCAGGAGGCGCCGCCCGGCAGGGACGGCCCCGCCGCCAACACCGACGGCGCCGGCUCCGCGCACAGCUCCCCAGAGAGCCGCCGGCACCCGGACAGGGCGGAGAGGCCGGAGCCUCCGCGGGACUUCUCCCGCUCGUCCUCCAGCGCCAGCAGCUUCGGCAGCGUGGCCGAGGAGCCGGACGAGCACCCCGAGGCCGAG
Molecule: long non-coding RNA, 307 nt
Filed under: Anas platyrhynchos platyrhynchos (common mallard)
Lineage: Eukaryota; Metazoa; Chordata; Aves; Anseriformes; Anatidae
Description: lncRNA (ENSAPLG00000029928.1)
Source: RNAcentral